GGGUACGUUAUCAAUUCAGAGGAUAUGCGGGUUAUCUCCCUCGAAAUCAAAUCAUCCGUAUCCAAACAAGUUUGGAUGUGUGUGCAAUGCAAGGGUGGACGUAAAUGGUUUGCUUAUCCAUUCCCUCCUGAAAAAAAAUUAGAUUUCUGAGGCUGGUACCCAAUUCUCCCACUUCAAAACAAUGGCUGAAGCUAUCAUGGGCUUUACCAUUGCUAAACCACCCCUCUAUAACUCUUUCCGACCAACAAAAUUUGACUUCAACCCAUCUUCAAAAUCGCUUAGGCAAUGUUCAAGCUCCAGACUUUUUAAGGGAUGGCAGCAGCCUGAAUCUGGCAGCCAGAGCAAAAGAGGCUCCUUUAGUAAAGUGAAUGCUUUUCCAGAUUGGCCUUUAAUGGCAGUGUUAGUAGAUCACCUGGACGGCCAAAGAGACCUAGUUACUUACAAGUCCAUAUGGCAUCUUAGUGAUCAAGCCAUAAAGAACGUUUGUGAGUGUACUCAUCUAUUUCUCACGGAUGAAUUUUAGUUUCACUAAUACUUUCUUUUCUUUCUCCCCUUCAGAUGUAUUUUACAUUAUGUUCACUAUUUGGGGAUGUCUGUUCUUCGGUUCAAUGAAAGAUCCAUACUACGAUUCAGAAGCAUACAGAAAAGAUGGAGGAGAUGGUACUGGGCAUUGGUUCUACGAGAAGCAAGAGGAUAUUGAAGAAUCUGCAAGAGCAGAGCUAUGGCGGGAGGAGUUGAUUGAGGAAAUUGAGCAGAAGGUUGGAGGAUUACGCGAAUUGGAAGAAGCUGGCCGAAAGUAGUUUCUUAUGGUUCUGAAUUAAAAACAUGGUUCUGUGAAAAUUUAUGCUGAUGAACUCUUCUAUAUGCUCAUUACGCCAUUUAUAAAAAUAUUUUAAGAAAAUUUUUCUAUGACCAUUAUGAGGAAUUGCAGUGUUUGUUAGCAGUCCCUCAAUAAUAAUGAAAAUGGAUUAGUCGCUUGAUUUUUAUUAUUAAAUAUUAAAAUACUUUUAAAAAUUAAUAAAUUAUAAAUCUCUACAACUAUCAUAAGUCAUAUUUAUCCGUUAUUCUUUAAGUAUAUAUGAAUAUAAUCAGCGUAAUGUUUAAGGCCUACUUAUAUGUAUAGUUGUUAAUAUCAUUAUUUUAUAUUAGACAUGCUAACUAUAAUCUCUUGUAAUGUAAAUAUUGUUGAUCUUUCUACAACCAUCAGCUGCCACUUUCAGAGACGAGAAAUUUUGGAGUUUAUUGAAAAACUAACUACAAAAUAUUCCAACCACCAGAAAUGAAUUUUUCAGUCCACUACUUCCAAAAUCCAAGAUGAUUCGACCAAACAUUUAUAUCAAGAACUGAUUUAUAAAGAGUGAGAGCUUUGUCUCUCUGUUUAGUGAGAGACUCCUUUUCUUUUCUUUUUUUUUUUCAAA
Molecule: unclassified non-coding RNA, 1418 nt
Filed under: Hevea brasiliensis (rubber tree)
Lineage: Eukaryota; Viridiplantae; Streptophyta; Magnoliopsida; Malpighiales; Euphorbiaceae
Source: RNAcentral